GGCUAUUGCUACUCUGAACACGGGACAGAACUGUCAAGAAAACUAAAGGCGUCGAUUCUAUAAACUGUUACAACAAAUAUAAUUUAUCCGUAUAAUUUUCACACGAAUAUGUAAUAAUACUCGGCCUGCUUCGAAUGAAAGUCACUAAAUUUUACUUAACACGAGAAUCUUGCGGUAAACAAACUCAAUGCAAUCUCGACGUAAUGUGCAUCACGAGCCUCGCGGCCAUCACUAAUUUCAACUGGCACUGUUAGUGGCGCCAUCGCCUCUUUAGACGGAAGAACAAGGAACUGGACUAUUGCGCGCGCGAUAGUCGCGAAUAAUGGCGAAAUAUGUAAUCCAAUGCCAUCAUUGCCAGGUGGUCCUAUUAACAUAAAAUGCAUAAAAAAAAAAAAUGCUAAAUUUAUCAAGAUAAUGAUAGAAAAGAGUUUAUGUAUUACCAGGCGGUCCUCUUGGACCCAUAGAACCUUCUACACCAACACCUUCCGGACCUCUAUCACCCUUUUCUCCCCGUUCACCAGGUGGACCUUGAGGUCCUAUAUGACCUUGUGGUCCUGGUAAACCAACAAAACCACGUUCCCCAGGCAAACCUGGAAGACCUGGAUCACCUAAGAAUAAUUUUCCAUUAUAAAUGAAUUCUAAUCUUAAGGUAAAAAAUAUAUUAUUAAGAU
Apis florea (little honeybee) is the source of this 671-nucleotide long non-coding RNA. The record is from RefSeq and is a predicted model, not a curated record. Lineage: Eukaryota; Metazoa; Arthropoda; Insecta; Hymenoptera; Apidae.